Prunus mume (Japanese apricot) is the source of this 342-nucleotide non-coding RNA. The record is from RefSeq and is a predicted model, not a curated record. NCBI's taxonomy places the organism in Eukaryota, Viridiplantae, Streptophyta, Magnoliopsida, Rosales, Rosaceae.
GGGGAGUUCUUGCUCGUGGAAGCCAUUGGAGAGUUAUGAUUAUAAUAAAGAGGAGAUAAAUCAGAUUGCAUGCAACUCUAAAUCUUCUUUUCUUGCUGCUACGGAUGAUGGCGGUGAAAUUAAGAUUAUUGACAUUUGUCAGAAACGCAUUUACAAAACAUUAAGAGCUGGCCAUACAAGUGUAUCCUUUUUUUUUUCUUUUUUUUAAAUCAUUUAAGCACUUCCCUUUUUGUUCUUCUUCAAAUUAUGUGACUCAUGGUCGGCUAUCAACAAAAUAUUCUGCUGCAUAUCUUUUUAUUUUCCUUCUUUAUUUUGUUAAAUUCCAAUUGCUUCCUUCCAAGC